RNAcentral lists this ribosomal RNA (467 nucleotides) under uncultured bacterium. RNAcentral describes it as "partial 16S ribosomal RNA". It matches the Rfam family "Bacterial small subunit ribosomal RNA", at positions 28 to 507 of the family's 1533-position model. The record is from RNAcentral.
GACGAACGCUGGCGGCGUGCUUAACACAUGCAAGUCGAACGGAAAGGCCUCUUUCGGGGGGUACUCGAGUGGCGAACGGGUGAGUAACACGUGUGUCACCUGCCCUUGACUUUGGGAUAACUUCAGUAAACUGGGGCUAAUACCGGAUAGGAGCUCCUGCUGCAUGGUGGGGGUUGGAAAGUUUCGGCGGUUGGGGAUGGACUCGCGGCGUAUCAGCUUGUUGGUGGGGUAGUGGCUUACCAAGGCUUUGACGGGUAGCCGGCCUGAGGGGGUGACCGGCCACAUUGGGACUGAGAUACGGCCCAGACGCCUACGGGAGGCAGCAGUGGGGAAUAUUGCACAAUGGGUGGAAGCCUGAUGCAGCAACGCCGUGUGCGGGAUGACGGCCUUCGGGUUGUAAACCGCUUUCGCUCAUGACGAAGCUUUGUGUGACGGUAGUGGGUAAAGAAGCACCGGCUAACUACGUG